GGCAAUUUCUUGGUAACCCAAAGAGAGGCUUUAACGUUAACGUUAAAGUCUCGGAUUUUCUCGACAAAAAUUCGUUGGCGGAAAUUUUCUCGCGAAAUUUGGUUUCUGAAGGUUCGACCGUUCUCCAGUUUCUUCAUAUCACUGCGACUAACGCACGUUGAACGGUAUGAAAAGGAUACCAAAAGUUUACAUGCUUAAUCACCUGCACAGCGUGUAUGUAGUGAGCAAUCAUUGAAGAAAACGUUUUGCUCAUAUUGGUUAAAUCAUGGCAUAUAGAAGACUAACAAUCUGGUGAGCGCAAUGUUGUGGAAUUUCAUGUGCUGUUGAUGACAGUGGACACCGACCAACUUCUUUUGUCUUUUGUUUCAGUUUCUCCCCACCUAAUGCCACUCCAUCCUCGCUUGACCAGACAUUUUUUUGGCACAUCAAAAUGUGUAAAAAGCUGUACCAGAUGGGUUGAAAUUGAUAUCAGGUGAUCACCUUUUUUAGACAAGUAAAAAGGCAUAUGAGCAUGUGAUCAUGUUUUCUCAUACUCAUGUGGUGUAUAGGACAUAGAAAGAGAGUAAUGCAAACAGACAGGACAAACAUUCAAUAUAUGUCUCUCAUCGCCUUCCCAUCAAAUACAGAGUAGUAGAUGGUUUGCUCUGACACAAGAAAAAAAAUGACAGACUUAAUACAGAGAACUGAGGAAAUGCCUCUACCUCUUCCUCUGCUGAAUAAAACUGGCGACGGAUUAA
Molecule: long non-coding RNA, 737 nt
Organism: Tarenaya hassleriana
Lineage: Eukaryota; Viridiplantae; Streptophyta; Magnoliopsida; Brassicales; Cleomaceae
Exons: 3
Source: RefSeq, a predicted model, not a curated record